CUACGGGUGGCACCAGUCGAGAAUCUUCCUCAAUGCCCGCAAGGGUGAAGGAGCGACGCCGCGUGCCAGAUGAAGUCUUUCGGGAUGUAAAUGGCUUUUCUAUGGGAAAAAUUCGUGAUGGUACCAUAGGAAUAAGGGGCUGCUAACUUCGUGCCAGCAGCAGCGGUAAUACGAAGGCCCCGAGCAUUACCCGGAAUUAUUGGGCGUAAAGAGCUAAACGGCGGCUUGAUAAGUCGAUUGUUAAAUAUCAGAGCUCAACUCUGAAAUCGCAAUCGAAACUAUCUGGCUAGAGGACGGAAGAGGUCAGUGGAAUUGCUGGUGUAGCAGUAAAAUGCGUUAAUAUCAGCAGGAACACCAAAAGCGAAGGCAGCUGACUGGAACGAUCCUGACACUAUAAUAGCGAAAGCGUGGGUAGCGAAUGGGAUUAGAUACCCGCGUAGUC
This 442-nucleotide ribosomal RNA is filed under the name uncultured bacterium. Its description in RNAcentral is "partial 16S ribosomal RNA". It matches the Rfam family "Bacterial small subunit ribosomal RNA", at positions 339 to 795 of the family's 1533-position model. The record is from RNAcentral.